UGAGGAACAAGGAGGUUUUAGGGUCCACGAGCAUAAUGUGUUUGAAAUUGCGUCUUAGGCUUUGUUCGUUUCUCCAUUUGACAGAUCCAUCCAACUCAUCUAUUCAACAUGUCCAUCUGAAUGAUUCAUUCGACUCUUGUUCGUUUCAUUUUUAGUCGGUUCAUUUGACUGGACUAUCCGAAUGAGAUGUUGUUCGUUUGCUUAUCUCUAUCUCCAUCCAAAUGUUUUGUAAUAAUACAAAUACCUAAAAUACCCAUGCUUUCAUCUAAUUAUAUUUUUAUUAUUACCUGUAAACAUAUUAAUUUU
Molecule: small RNA, 306 nt
Filed under: Arabidopsis thaliana (thale cress)
Lineage: Eukaryota; Viridiplantae; Streptophyta; Magnoliopsida; Brassicales; Brassicaceae
Description: ATSL155740
Source: RNAcentral